AGGCCAUUGCUAUUGGAGUCCGAUUUAGCCAUGCUAGUCGCACGGGUUCAGACCCGUGGCGAAUAGCUCCGUAACACGUGGCCAAACUACCCUAACGAGCACGAUACUCUCGGGAAACUGAGGUUAAUAGUGCAUACGGCUCGCUGCCUGGAGUGGCGCGAGCUCGAAAUGCUCAGGCGCGAUAGGAUGUGGCUGCGGCCGAUUAGGUAGACGGUGGGGUAACGGCCCACCGUGCCGAUAAUCGGUACGGGUUGUGAGAGCAAGAGCCCGGAGACGGUAUCUGAGACAAGAUACCGGGCCCUACGGGGCGCAGCAGGCGCGAAACCUUUACACUGCACGAGAGUGCGAUAAGGGGACUCCAAGUGCGAGGGCAUAUAGUCCUCGCUUUUUCCGACCGUAGGAUGGUCGGCGAAUAAGUGCUGGGCAAGACCGGUGCCAGCCGCCGCGGUAAUACCGGCAGCACAAGUGAUGACCGCUAUUAUUGGGCCUAAAGCGUCCGCAGCUGGCCACGCAAGUCCAUCGGGAAAUCUCCCCGCUCAACGGGGAGGCGUCCGGUGGAAACUGCAUGGCUUGGGACCGGAAGAUCCAGAGGGUACGUCUGGGGUAGGAGUGAAAUCCUGUAAUCCGAGACGGACCACCGGUGGCGAAAGCGCUCUGGAAAGACGGAUCCGACGGUGAGGGACGAAAGCUCGGGUCACGAACCGGAUUAGAUACCCGGGUAGUCCGAGCUGUAAACGAUGUCUGCUAGGUGUGGCACAGGCUACGAGCCUGUGCUGUGCCGUAGGGAAGCCGUGAAGCAGACCGCCUGGGAAGUACGUCUGCAAGGAUGAAACUUAAAGGAAUUGGCGGGGGAGCACUACAACCGGAGGAGCCUGCGGUUU
Molecule: ribosomal RNA, 881 nt
Filed under: uncultured archaeon
Lineage: Archaea
Description: SSU rRNA
Rfam family: Archaeal small subunit ribosomal RNA
Source: RNAcentral